GCGCACCAGGCGCGAAACCUUCGCAAUGCAGGAAACUGCGACGAGGGAACUCCAAGUGCCUACGCUCAGCGUAGGCUGUUCUCAAGCCUAGAAAGCUUGAGGAGUAAGGGCUGGGUAAGACGGGUGCCAUCUGUGGUAGCAGUCAAUAGAUUCGAUUUGUUACUGCAAGGCAUAAGCCGCCGCGGUAAUACCCGCAGCCCAAGUGUGGCCGCUUUUAAUUGGGCCUAAAGCGUCCGUAGCCGGCCCGGUAAAUGCCUGGGUAAAUCGUGGAG
This 272-nucleotide ribosomal RNA is filed under the name uncultured microorganism. Its description in RNAcentral is "partial 16S ribosomal RNA". It matches the Rfam family "Archaeal small subunit ribosomal RNA", at positions 330 to 557 of the family's 1478-position model. The record is from RNAcentral.